This is a long non-coding RNA of Onychostoma macrolepis, 784 nucleotides long. RefSeq lists it as uncharacterized. NCBI's taxonomy places the organism in Eukaryota, Metazoa, Chordata, Actinopteri, Cypriniformes, Cyprinidae. The record is from RefSeq and is a predicted model, not a curated record. The transcript has 3 exons.
AGAUCACAUGACCAGCUGAAUGCCAUUUGCUUCCAUUAUUGGACUCAGGAGGGAAGUAUGUGAUUUCGGAAGAAUUUUUUCAGUUAUAACCAACGAUCAUGGCUGACUUUUUUCUUGGUUGGACCCAGGCCUCUAGGUGUCACUAUAAGCCCAAGACGAUAACAUAACGCAAAGAAGAAAGCUGACUCUAACCGCCCCCUUCUCCCUCUCUGAUCGUCCUGUGCUGGAGGUUGUCAGCCGAGUUUUAUGUCCAGUUCGCUGGAGCUGAAAGAAGUCAGCAUCGUGUCUUGUUAUGAAACAAGACGUCCUUGCCUCCUGUUCCGGGUGAAUGAUGCCUGGGGUGACUUGCGUGAAGCGAUGGCCUCGCCGUGGCGCUCCACAGAGGCGACCAACAGUGAGGAAGUCAAUGCGCCAUUGUGUAUCGAGUUCGUCUGCUACAUGUUUGGUAAUUAUCCCGACUGUUUGUUGGAGACUUGGAUCUGCGAGCCAAGCGGGCCGACAGUGGAGCACAACACUGUCAACAAAGAUUAACUUCAUGAAUGGUCAACAUGUCUAGUUGAGGGAGACAAGCUCAAAACAUCAUUGAUUAGUGCUACCAAUCAGUUCAAAUGUGUAUGUUUUUAUAGUAAAACAAUUGACACAAUCCACAAUUUGUUUUUCACAGGGUGAAUAAAAACAUCAUACAGGACUUGUGCUUUUUGAGAAAACACAUAUUGCUCUAUUAGAAUAAGUUUAAUAAAAUCCACCAGCAUAUAUGAAGUAAAUUUUUUUGUGAAGGUCUAGC